Molecule: ribosomal RNA, 253 nt
Filed under: uncultured bacterium
Lineage: Bacteria
Also listed under: 2 other names
Description: partial 16S ribosomal RNA
Rfam family: Bacterial small subunit ribosomal RNA
Source: RNAcentral
UACGAAGGGGGCUAGCGUUGUUCGGAAUUACUGGGCGUAAAGCGCGCGCAGGCGGUCUUCCAAGUCAGUGGUGAAAGCCCGGAGCUCAACUCCGGAACUGCCAUUGAAACUGUGAGACUUGAGUAUGAGAGAGGUGAGUGGAAUUCCCAGUGUAGAGGUGAAAUUCGUAGAUAUUGGGAAGAACACCGGUGGCGAAGGCGGCUCACUGGCUCAUUACUGACGCUCAGGCGCGACAGCGUGGGGAUCAAACAGG